CACAGUGAAAUGUGAUACGUAAUGUGAAUUGCAGAAUUCAGUGAAUCAUCGAAUCUUUGAACGCACCUUGCACCUUUUGGUUAUUCUGAAAGGUACGCCUGUUUGAAUGUCACGAAACCCCCCUCGGCUCUAAUGCUUUCUAAAAGGAUUAGAGACGGAUUCUGAGUGUUGGCGUGAAUACGCCUCGCUUUAAAUAGAUCAGCACUUUUGGAUGGUUGAAUAUUAGUUCAAAAGACGUACUUGAUGUUGUAUUUAUAUGUCAUUGAGGCAGUCUUUGGUCGUUCCGACUAUCCGCUAAUACGAAGACUUGAAGAAUAGCUUCCUAACCCUAUUCAUUUAACCUUUAGACUUCAAAUCAGGUGGGACUACCCGCUGAACUUAAGCAUAUCUUUUGUGGAGGACAAG
RNAcentral lists this ribosomal RNA (405 nucleotides) under Melampsora pakistanica. RNAcentral's name for it is "eukaryotic LSU rRNA". The stretch from base 1 to 112 matches the Rfam family "5.8S ribosomal RNA", at positions 44 to 154 of the family's 154-position model. Lineage: Eukaryota; Fungi; Basidiomycota; Pucciniomycetes; Pucciniales; Melampsoraceae. The record is from RNAcentral.